RNAcentral lists this ribosomal RNA (253 nucleotides) under uncultured bacterium. RNAcentral's name for it is "partial 16S ribosomal RNA". It matches the Rfam family "Bacterial small subunit ribosomal RNA", at positions 524 to 776 of the family's 1533-position model. The record is from RNAcentral.
UACGGAGGGGGCUAGCGUUGUUCGGAAUUACUGGGCGUAAAGCGCACGUAGGCGGAUCGUUAAGUCGGGGGUGAAAUCCUGGAGCUCAACUCCAGAACUGCCUUCGAUACUGGCGAUCUAGAGUCCGGAAGAGGUGAGUGGAACUCCUAGUGUAGAGGUGGAAUUCGUAGAUAUUAGGAAGAACACCAGUGGCGAAGGCGGCUCACUGGUCCGGUACUGACGCUGAGGUGCGAAAGCGUGGGGAGCAAACAGG